Molecule: ribosomal RNA, 224 nt
Filed under: uncultured bacterium
Lineage: Bacteria
Description: partial 16S ribosomal RNA
Rfam family: Bacterial small subunit ribosomal RNA
Source: RNAcentral
UGAGUAAUGUCUGGGAAACUGCCUGAUGGAGGGGGAUAACUGCUGGAAACGGUAGCUAAUACCGCAUAACGUCGCAAGACCAAAGAGGGGGACCUUCGGGCCUCUUGCCAUCGGAUGUGCCCAGAUGGGAUUAGCUAGUAGGUGGGGUAACGGCUCACCUAGGCGACGAUCCCUAGCUGGUCUGAGAGGAUGACCAGCCACACUGGAACUGAGACACGGUCCAG